GACGAACGCUGGCGGCGUGCUUAACACAUGCAAGUCGAACGGAAAGGCCCUGCUUUUGUUGGGUGCUCGAGUGGCGAACGGGUGAGUAACACGUUAGUAACUUUCCCUUGACUUUGGGAUAACUUCAGGAAACUGGGGCUAAUACCGGAUAGGAGCUCCUGCUGCAUGGUUGGGGUUGGAAAGUUUCGGCGGUUGGGGAUGGACUCGCGGCUUAUCAGCUUGUUGGUGGGGUAGUGGCUUACCAAGGCUUUGACGGGUAGCCGGCCUGAGAGGGUGACCGGCCACAUUGGGACUGAGAUACGGACCAGACUCCUACGGGAGGCAGCAGUGGGGAAUAUUGCACAAUGGGCGGAAGCCUGAUGCAGCAACGCCGCGUGCGGGAUGACGGCCUUCGGGUUGUAAACCGCUUUCGCCUGUGACGAAGAGUGAGUGACGGUAAUGGGUAAAGAAGCACCGGCUAACUACGUG
This 468-nucleotide ribosomal RNA is filed under the name uncultured bacterium. Its description in RNAcentral is "partial 16S ribosomal RNA". It matches the Rfam family "Bacterial small subunit ribosomal RNA", at positions 28 to 507 of the family's 1533-position model. The record is from RNAcentral.